AGAGUUUGAUCCUGGCUCAGGACGAACGCUGGCGGCGUGCCUAACACAUGCAAGUCGAACGGGAAAGCCCGCAAGGGUGAGUACAGUGGCGCACGGGUGCGUAACACGUGGGUAAUCUGCCCAGAAGCCCGGAAUAACUCCCCGAAAGGGGUGCUAAUGCCGGAUAAGACCACGGGGACUUCGGUUCCUGGGGGAAAAGGUGGCCUCUGUAUACAAGCUAUCACUUCUGGAUGAGCCCGCGGCCCAUCAGCUAGUUGGCGGGGUAAUGGCCCACCAAGGCUACGACGGGUAGCUGGUCUGAGAGGACGAUCAGCCACACUGGAACUGAGACACGGUCCAGACUCCUACGGGAGGCAGCAGUGGGGAAUCUUGCGCAAUGGGCGAAAGCCUGACGCAGCAACGCCGCGUGUGUGAUGAAGGUCUUCGGAUCGUAAAGCACUGUCGGGAGGGACGAAUAAGGGCCGGGUGAACAAUCCGGUUCGACGACGGUACCUCCAAAGGAAGCACCGGCUAACUCUGUGCCAGCAGCCGCGGUAAUACAGAGGGUGCUAGCGUUGUUCGGAAUUAUUGGGCGUAAAGCGCGUGUAGGCGGCCGGCCAAGUCGGAUGUGAAAGCCCUCGGCUUAACCGAGGAAGUGCGUUCGAUACUAGCUGGCUUGAGUACCGGAGAGGGUGGUGGAAUUCCCGGUGUAGAGGUGAAAUUCGUAGAUAUCGGGAGGAACACCAGCGGCGAAGGCGACCACCUGGACGGAUACUGACGCUGAGACGCGAAAGCGUGGGGAGCAAACAGGAUUAGAUACCCUGGUAGUCCACGCUGUAAACGAUGAGCGCUAGGUGUUGCGGGUGUUGACCCCUGCAGUGCCGAAGCUAACGCAUUAAGCGCUCCGCCUGGGAAGUACGGCCGCAAGGCUAAAACUCAAAGGAAUUGACGG
This 931-nucleotide ribosomal RNA is filed under the name uncultured bacterium. RNAcentral describes it as "bacterial SSU rRNA". It matches the Rfam family "Bacterial small subunit ribosomal RNA", at positions 8 to 916 of the family's 1533-position model. The record is from RNAcentral.